UUUUUCAAUCCCACCCAGGUGACAGGAGCUGAAUUCCACGUGGGAAAUUGAAAUGCCUAAGGGAUUCACAGGUGUAAUGUGUUUGAAAUCAAGCUGCUGCUAUUCAGGAGAAAGAAGCUUGUGUGGGUUCAGGAGGAGAGCUCUGAGAGCAAGUAGUCCAAGAAAUCAGCUACCAGAGGGAAAGCAGCAGAUUGUAGAACAGCUACCGGCACAAGUGACCUUGCAGCCUGAAGUCUCUCUGAAAGAAGGCAUCUUUGCAGAUUGAAGACCAAGAUCGGGAUACACCCAGUGCCGAUCUCCAUCUCUGGGUAAUGCUGAAAUGUUCAUUCGCUGCUCUGCUGAGCCAGACAUUGGAGAGAUUGAUCCGGGCUUUGUGAGUGCCAAUUAAUGAGUGUUUGCACUGCAAAGCAAGGCGUACAAGCCCACGUACAGCUGCUGUCUCUGCUGAGUACCAAGAUGAUCCUCAAAUGAGGAGCUGGUCAGGCUGGGCAUCAUCAGUACAGGGUACUGAGGCAGCCAACUGGUCCAUACUCUGAUCCAGUUGGCUCUUUUGGGGAUCCAUCUACAGAAAUGAACCAUUCCAUGAACUCCAGGGAGCCCAUUCAUCCCAGCUUCCCCAGGGGCAACCCUGGGGCUGCAGAUGGGCAAUAUGACCACCUUCUACACCCAGAAGAAGCCUAUUGCCACCUCAAUCUCCCCGGAACCCGGUUAGAUAAACUGUUACUUGUGAAACCUCUCUUAG
Molecule: long non-coding RNA, 742 nt
Organism: Ornithorhynchus anatinus (platypus)
Lineage: Eukaryota; Metazoa; Chordata; Mammalia; Monotremata; Ornithorhynchidae
Exons: 4
Source: RefSeq, a predicted model, not a curated record